GAUGAACGCUGGCGGCGUGCUUAACACAUGCAAGUCGAACGGAAAGGCCCAAGCUUGCUUGGGUACUCGAGUGGCGAACGGGUGAGUAACACGUGGGUGAUCUGCCCUGCACUUCGGGAUAAGCCUGGGAAACUGGGUCUAAUACCGGAUAGGACGAUGGUUUGGAUGCCAUUGUGGAAAGUUUUUUCGGUGUGGGAUGAGCUCGCGGCCUAUCAGCUUGUUGGUGGGGUAAUGGCCUACCAAGGCGUCGACGGGUAGCCGGCCUGAGAGGGUGUACGGCCACAUUGGGCCUGAGAUACGGCCCAGACUCCGACGGGAGGCAGCAGUGGGGAAUAUUGCACAAUGGGCGCAAGCCUGAUGCAGCGACGCCGCGUGGGGGAUGACGGCCUUCGGGUUGUAAACUCCUUUCGCUAGGGACGAAGCGUUUUUGUGACGGUACCUGGAGAAGAAGCACCGGCUAACUACGUG
RNAcentral lists this ribosomal RNA (468 nucleotides) under uncultured bacterium. RNAcentral's name for it is "partial 16S ribosomal RNA". It matches the Rfam family "Bacterial small subunit ribosomal RNA", at positions 28 to 507 of the family's 1533-position model. The record is from RNAcentral.